Molecule: long non-coding RNA, 693 nt
Organism: Ictalurus punctatus (channel catfish)
Lineage: Eukaryota; Metazoa; Chordata; Actinopteri; Siluriformes; Ictaluridae
Source: Ensembl
CUCGUUCUGACCAGAAUUCAACAUGGCCGCCGGAGGUGCUGUAGAUGCCGAGCUUGUGCGUUGUGAGGUUCCUCCCUUGGUGUCGUUGCUCAUCAGCAGACUCCGGUUCAUCUGGUGGCCGCAUUAUUACCUUGACUUCCAGCUGAGUGGAGGCUUUGAGGAUAAGGGAUCUUACUCAAGCGCUGGAAUUUCAACUCUAGACCUUCCAAUCAGUAGCCGAGCGUCUUAACCACAGAUCUCCCGCUGCCUCAUCCUGAAUACUGCAGUCUGCUAGUGAAUGGAGUCUGAAUCUGGGUUCUUCUCGGUAGUGGCUCUGUGAUGAUGGAACAAACGGUGGGAAAGUGAUUAUUUUUCUUCUCCAUGUCCUCAACCGCAGCGCGUGAUUAGGUUAUGGGCCUAAAAUGAUGCCAGACUGGUUUCUUUUUAAUGCAAGAGACCCAUAAAAGUGUCUCAUUAAGUUCAAGUCAGCACCGAUUUCCUGUCUGAGCUGAAAGUAAACGAGCUGCCAGCACACUCUGAAUGCUAACUUCCUCUCAAUGUGUUAUAGUUAUGAUUACAUGUCUGCGUUUUAACAUUUUAACUGCCAUGUGCCCAUAAAACCUUCACACGUUACCAACAUGCAGAGAAAACAUGUAUAUAAAUGGGUAAUAAACAUCAGAAAUCGGCUAAAUAUUAAUUAGCAUUAUUUUAAAC